UACGUAGGGGACAAGCGUUGUCCGGAUUUAUUGGGCGUAAAGCGCUCGCAGGUGGUUCGUCGCGUCGUGCGUGAAAGACCCCGGCUCAACUGGGGAGGGUCGUGCGAUACGGGCGGACUGGAGGCCAGUAGGGGGAUGCGGAAUUCCGGGUGUAGUGGUGGAAUGCGUAGAGAUCCGGAGGAACACCAGCGGCGAAGGCGGCAUCCUGGACUGGUCCUGACACUCAGGAGCGAAAGCGUGGGGAGCGAGCCGG
This 253-nucleotide ribosomal RNA is filed under the name uncultured bacterium. RNAcentral describes it as "partial 16S ribosomal RNA". It matches the Rfam family "Bacterial small subunit ribosomal RNA", at positions 524 to 776 of the family's 1533-position model. The record is from RNAcentral.